This 64-nucleotide transfer RNA is filed under the name Ostrea edulis (European flat oyster). RNAcentral describes it as "tRNA-His". The record is from RNAcentral. Lineage: Eukaryota; Metazoa; Mollusca; Bivalvia; Ostreida; Ostreidae.
AGUUAGGUAGUUUAGAAAAACAUCAACUUGUGGCGUUGAAGUCACCUGUAUAAGGUCCUGGCUA